This 497-nucleotide ribosomal RNA is filed under the name uncultured bacterium. RNAcentral describes it as "partial 16S ribosomal RNA". It matches the Rfam family "Bacterial small subunit ribosomal RNA", at positions 28 to 507 of the family's 1533-position model. The record is from RNAcentral.
GAUGAACGCUGGCGGCGUGCCUAAUACAUGCAAGUCGAGCGAACAGACGAGGAGCUUGCUCCUCUGACGUUAGCGGCGGACGGGUGAGUAACACGUGGAUAACCUACCUAUAAGACUGGGAUAACUUCGGGAAACCGGAGCUAAUACCGGAUAAUAUAUUGAACCGCAUGGUUCAAUAGUGAAAGACGGUUUUGCUGUCACUUAUAGAUGGAUCCGCGCCGCAUUAGCUAGUUGGUAAGGUAACGGCUUACCAAGGCAACGAUGCGUAGCCGACCUGAGAGGGUGAUCGGCCACACUGGAACUGAGACACGGUCCAGACUCCUACGGGAGGCAGCAGUAGGGAAUCUUGCACAAUGGGCGAAAGCCUGACGGAGCAACGCCGCGUGAGUGAUGAAGGUCUUCGGAUCGUAAAACUCUGUUAUUGGGGAAGAACAAAUGUGUAAGUAACUAUGCACGUCUUGACGGUACCUAAUCAGAAAGCCACGGCUAACUACGUG